GYCYAAGAUUAGCCMUGCAUGUCUAAGUAUAAGCACUUUAUACUGUGAAACUGCGAAUGGCUCAUUAAAUCAGUUAUCGUUUAUUUGAUAGUACCUUACUACAUGGAUACCUGUGGUAAUUCUAGAGCUAAUACAUGCUAAAAACCCCGACUUCAGGAAGGGGUGUAUUUAUUAGAUAAAAAACCAACGCCCUUCGGGGCUCCUUGGUGAAUCAUAAUAACUUAACGAAUCGCAUGGCCUUGCGCCGGCGAUGGUUCAUUCAAAUUUCUGCCCUAUCAACUUUCGAUGGUAGGAUAGUGGCCUACCAUGGUGGCAACGGGUAACGGGGAAUUAGGGUUCGAUUCCGGAGAGGGAGCCUGAGAAACGGCUACCACAUCCAAGGAAGGCAGCAGGCGCGCAAAUUACCCAAUCCCGAUACGGGGAGGUAGUGACAAUAAAUACUGAUACGGGGCUCUUUCGGGUCUCGUAAUUGGAAUGAGAACAAUUUAAAUCCCUUAACGAGGAACAAUUGGAGGGCAAGUCUGGUGCCAGCAGCCGCGGUAAUUCCAGCUCCAAUAGCGUAUAUUAAAGUUGUUGCAGUUAAAAAGCUCGUAGUUGAACCUUGGGUCUGGCUGGCCGGUCCGCCUCACCGCGAGUACUGGUCCGGCUGGACCUUUCCUUCUGGGGAACCUCAUGGCCUUCACUGGCUGUGGGGGGAACCAGGACUUUUACUGUGAAAAAAUUAGAGUGUUCAAAGCAGGCCUUUGCUCGAAUACAUUAGCAUGGAAUAAUAGAAUAGGACGUGCGGUUCUAUUUUGUUGGUUUCUAGGACCGCCGUAAUGAUUAAUAGGGAUAGUCGGGGGCGUCAGUAUUCCGCUGUCAGAGGUGAAAUUCUUGGAUUUGCGGAARACUAACUACUGCGAAAGCAUUCSCCAAGGAUGUUUUCAUUAAUCAGGGAACGAAARKUUAGGGGAUCGAAGAMRAUCAGAUACCGUCSUAGUCUUAACCAUAAACUAUGCCRACUAGGAUCGGAMGGGAUUYUWUGAWGACCCGUUCGGCACUUACSAGAAAUCAAAKUUUUGGUYUGGGGGGRARUWUGYYGCAGGSUDAAAMYUAAGAAAUKAMSGAGGGCACCMMAGGSKUGAGCUGCGBCUAUUKAYYYAMMCGGAMYCACMGGUUCMGACCAAUGGAUDAMGAURAGYCYUCUKWYUUUGRRGUGUGSSUGGCCGGUUYYUG
This 1215-nucleotide ribosomal RNA is filed under the name Penicillium sp. F8A MAN-2013. RNAcentral's name for it is "partial 18S ribosomal RNA". It matches the Rfam family "Eukaryotic small subunit ribosomal RNA", at positions 36 to 1308 of the family's 1831-position model. The record is from RNAcentral. Lineage: Eukaryota; Fungi; Ascomycota; Eurotiomycetes; Eurotiales; Aspergillaceae.